GAUGAACGCUAGCUACAGGCUUAACACAUGCAAGUCGAGGGGCAGCAUGGAAGAAGCUUGCUUCUUCUGAUGGCGACCGGCGCACGGGUGCGUAACGCGUAUCAAACCUGCCUCAUACUCGGGGAUAGCCUUGCGAAAGUAAGAUUAAUACCCGAUGUUGUUGCUUUCUCGCAUGGGAGAGUAACCAAAGAUUUAUCGGUAUGAGAUGGUGAUGCGUCCGAUUAGGUAGUAGGCGGGGUAACGGCCCACCUAGCCCUCGAUCGGUAGGGGUUCUGAGAGGAAGGUCCCCCACACUGGAACUGAGACACGGUCCAGACUCCUACGGGAGGCAGCAGUGAGGAAUAUUGGUCAAUGGGCGAGAGCCUGAACCAGCCAAGUAGCGUGCAGGAUGACGGCCCUCCGGGUUGUAAACUGCUUUUAGUUGGGAAUAAAAAAAGGGACUUGUCCCUUCUUGUAUGUACCUUCAGAAAAAGGACCGGCUAAUUCCGUGCCAGCAGCCGCGGGAAUACGGAAGGUCCAGGCUUAUCCGGAUUUAUUGGGUUUAAAGGGAGCUGUGGCGGUUGUUAAGUCAGCGGUUAUGGGGUGUGGCUCAACCAUGCAUUGCCGUUGAGAACUUGGCGAUGUUGAGUGCAGACGGGGAUGCCUGAAUUCUUGGUUGUGUCGGUGAAAUGCUAAUAUGUAACGAGAAAUCUGAUUGUGUGGCUGGUGUUCGGCUGCUGCUGUGUGUGAGCUCUAAUGUGUGGGUGUCAACAGGAUUGAUGCCCUGGAUUCCAGGUGGAUUCUCUGUUGAUGUAUGCUUUUGUUUGUGUGUGCCGCGGGAGAGCCCGUGUCUUGUUUUGUGCUUUUGUUGUGGGUGUGUUAGUGUGGUGUGUAUGUGUG
This 879-nucleotide ribosomal RNA is filed under the name uncultured Capnocytophaga sp. RNAcentral describes it as "bacterial SSU rRNA". It matches the Rfam family "Bacterial small subunit ribosomal RNA". The record is from RNAcentral. Lineage: Bacteria; Pseudomonadati; Bacteroidota; Flavobacteriia; Flavobacteriales; Flavobacteriaceae.